RNAcentral lists this ribosomal RNA (614 nucleotides) under uncultured bacterium. Its description in RNAcentral is "bacterial SSU rRNA". It matches the Rfam family "Bacterial small subunit ribosomal RNA", at positions 8 to 615 of the family's 1533-position model. The record is from RNAcentral.
AGAGUUUGAUCCUGGCUCAGAUUGAACGCUGGCGGCAUGCCUUACACAUGCAAGUCGAACGGCAGCACGGGAGCAAUCCUGGUGGCGAGUGGCGAACGGGUGAGUAAUAUAUCGGAACGUGCCCAGUCGUGGGGGAUAACGCAGCGAAAGCUGUGCUAAUACCGCAGACGAUCUCUGGAUGAAAGCGGGGGACUCGUAAGAGCCUCGCGCGAUUGGAGCGGCCGAUAUCAGAUUAGCUAGUUGGUGGGGUAAAGGCCCACCAAGGCGACGAUCUGUAGCUGGUCUGAGAGGACGACCAGCCACACUGGAACUGAGACACGGUCCAGACUCCUACGGGAGGCAGCAGUGGGGAAUUUUGGACAAUGGGCGCAAGCCUGAUCCAGCAAUGCCGCGUGCAGGAUGAAGGCCUUCGGGUUGUAAACUGCUUUUGUACGGAACGAAAAGGUCUGCCUUAAUACGGUGGGCCCAUGACGGUACCGUAAGAAUAAGCACCGGCUAACUACGUGCCAGCAGCCGCGGUAAUACGUAGGGUGCGAGCGUUAAUCGGAAUUACUGGGCGUAAAGCGUGCGCAGGCGGUUAUAUAAGACAGAUGUGAAAUCCCCGGGCUCAACCU